Non-coding RNA from Pelobates cultripes (western spadefoot toad), 221 nucleotides. The record is from the annotation of a GenBank genome assembly. NCBI's taxonomy places the organism in Eukaryota, Metazoa, Chordata, Amphibia, Anura, Pelobatidae.
CUUUUACACGGAAUGAGAUGACCACAGGUCACGCAGCCUAAACAUCUCACACAACCGUUAUUACCUGUAUUCUUAUUCACCGGCAUAGCUUUGAACCGGAUCAGUCUGGACUAAAAGGUCCCUUAGACUUUUGCUAUUUUUAUAAGAAAACAUCGGUUUGUUGCAGAGACUUUCUGGAAGGCUUUUAUCAUUUUCCAUAAUGUGCCAAUUUUUGGUGAUUG